RNAcentral lists this ribosomal RNA (468 nucleotides) under uncultured bacterium. RNAcentral describes it as "partial 16S ribosomal RNA". It matches the Rfam family "Bacterial small subunit ribosomal RNA", at positions 28 to 507 of the family's 1533-position model. The record is from RNAcentral.
GACGAACGCUGGCGGCGUGCUUAACACAUGCAAGUCGAACGGAAAGGCCCUGCUUUUGUGGGGUGCUCGAGUGGCGAACGGGUGAGUAACACGUGAGUAACCUGCCCUUGACUUUGGGAUAAAUUCAGGAAACUGGGGCUAAUACCGGAUAGGAGCUCCUGCUGCAUGGUGGGGGUUGGAAAGUUUCGGCGGUUGGGGAUGGACUCGCGGCUUAUCAGCUUGUUGGUGGGGUAGUGGCUUACCAAGGCUUUGACGGGUAGCCGGCCUGAGAGGGUGACCGGCCACAUUGGGACUGAGAGACGGCCCAGACUCCUACGGGAGGCAGCAGUGGGGAAUAUUGCACAAUGGGCGGAAGCCUGAUGCAGCAACGCCGCGUGCGUGAUGACGGCCUUCGGGUUGUAAACCGCUUUCGCCUGUGACGAAGCGUGAGUGACGGUAAUGGGUAAAGAAGCACCGGCUAACUACGUG